Pygocentrus nattereri (red-bellied piranha) is the source of this 3528-nucleotide RNA transcript. It is a transcript of the gene named endonuclease V, with no coding region annotated. The transcript has 10 exons. NCBI's taxonomy places the organism in Eukaryota, Metazoa, Chordata, Actinopteri, Characiformes, Serrasalmidae. The record is from RefSeq and is a predicted model, not a curated record.
UCACGUACAAUCGUGUCAAAUGAUUUAAGGGAGGAAAUGCAGUACAACAGCGCUAGAAAAUGAAUAAAGCGAACAAAGAGCAAUAGUUUUACAGCCCCUCGAUUUGGAACGCCUCUCCCGCAUGGUCGCUGUGAGCGUGCUCCCUUUGCAGUGUCCUAGGUAGGCUGCAUGUGAUCGGAAUGGAGCGCGGCCUUUCCCACCGUCACGUUGCGGAAGCGGAGCCGAAUGGGGGACGGAGACGAGGAGCUGGUGCGGCGGUGGGAAAGGGAGCAGGAGUGUUUGAAGCAGCGUUUGGUGGAGGAGGACACAGAGGCCUGGCAGAAAAAUCCAAACUUCAGUGGGCUGCACAGGGUAGGAGGGGUGGACCUGUCCUUCAUUAAAGGAGAUGAAGUCAGUGCCUGUGCUCAGCUCGUCGUGCUUAGUUACCCUGAUAUGGAGUUGCUGUAUGAAUGCAGUGAGAUGGUGACCCUCAGUGCCCCCUAUAUUGCCGGGUUUCUGGCCUUUAGAGAAGCUCCGCCCCUUUUACAACUUCUACAGAGACUGGAGAGAGAACAGCCCAGCCUAAUGCCUCAGGUGCUGUUUGUAGAUGGAAACGGUCUUUUUCAUUACAGAGAGUUUGGUUUGGCCUGUCAUCUUGGUGUACUCUCAGAUCUACCCUGUGUGGGCGUGGCUAAAAACCUGCUGCAGGUGCAGGGCGUGGCCAAGACUGAUGAACACCUGUCGCAGAUCAGUGCUUUGAAGAAAGCAGGAGAUACAUUCCCUCUGACCGCUGCCUCUGGGAGAACACUUGGGCAGGCUCUCCGGAGUUCAAACAGCAGCACUAAACCCAUCUACGUGUCUGUGGGUCAUCGCAUCAGUCUGGACACGGCGGUCCACCUCACGCAUUCAUGCUGCCGCUACCGCGUACCUGAACCCAUACGACAGGCCGAUAUGCGCUCUAGAGAAUACCUGCGGACACACUUCCCUCCCACCAGCUCUGAAUAGAAACACACAGAGUUUUGGUCUAAGGAUUUUCUCAGCAGCUGCAGCGUGAGAAGUUGAUUUCACCACAGCAGUCAGUCAGUCCUACGUUGCUCUUGGCAGCAGCUCGGCUUCGGCACAGAAACAGCAGCAUCAUCUGGUCUGUGUGUUGUGGGUGGACGUGACCUGUGACUCUGCACUGAAAACAUGAGCUACAGCAGCAGCACAUGAAAACACCACAUCACUGCGAAGUGAUAUGACCGUUUACAGUGGUGGGGUGAGUUGCAGAGCAGGUCGUCUUCGUUAGCCAGAUAAAUUAAGCUGGAAAGCCUCUGAAUCGGCCUUCUGACCUCGGUGGCGAGGUCAGCAGUGUGGAGAGAACAAGGGAUCUGUUUUAGCAUUCACUGGACUCUGUGGUUAAUGUAAUACUGAUUCAUUUGUGACUGUACAAGCUAAAAAAGUUUUCUUGGUGUCAGUUCUUGGUACAACACCAUACACCCAUGAAAAAGGUUUUGCAAGGUUCUAGUGAAGGUUACAUAGAGAACCUUGGGCUCUCAAGGAAUUGUUUUAAUGCAUUAAUAGUCCUUUGCAUGGUUAAAUAGUUGUCUAUGAAGACUGUUGUGUACAGCUCUUUGUAAAAUAGUUCUUUCUUUGAACAAUAGUUCUAGAUAGCACCAAAAACGUUUCCACUAUUUUCUUUAUUUUGGUGCUAUAUAGAACGUUAUACAUAAAACCUCGGGCACUCUUUGGAAUGUGUCAUUGAUUUUUUGCAUGGUUAGAUGGUUCUACUCUAUGAUAGAAAUGAUUCUUUAAAGAACCUUUUUAAAAUGUAAAAUUAUUCUAUAUAGCCCCACCAAAAGGUUUCCAUUAUGAUUCCAUUAUAGUCAAAGAACCUUUGUUUUGGUAUAUUGAACACAUCCUUCUAUGAGUGGGGUUCUGCAGCAGGGAACUCAGCAGGGAACUCAUUUCAAUGUAUCAGUGGCUCUUUGCAUGGCUGAAUAGUUUUUUUUCGCAAUGACGGAGAUGGUUCUACACAGAACCUUUUUAAAAAUUAAAAUGUAUAUUUCUGUAUAGCACCACAAAAGGUUUCCACCAUUUUAUCACAUCAAAGAACCUUUUUUUAGUACUAUACAGAACAAGUCAUGCUAACAGUGUGGUUCCUCUAAGGUUCUUUGGUAUAGGUAAUCCUGGGCACUCAUUUGAACGCAUUUGGUUCUACUCUAAGAUUGAGGUGAUUCUUUAAAGAACCUUUUAAAAAAUGAAAAUGGUUCUUUAUAUCACCACAAAAAGGUUUCCACUAUUUUCACAAGUCAAAGAACCUUUAUUUCGGGACUGUAUUGAACACAUCCUGCUAAGAGUAUAGUUCUUCAAAGGUUCUUUACUAAAGUUAAUGUCAUAUAUAGAACCCACUCAUUUGAACGCAUCAGUGGUUCUUUGCAUGGUUAACUGUUUUUUCUCAAUAUUGGAGAUGGUUCUAUAAAGAAUAUUAUAUUAAAUAUUAAUAUAUUUAAAAUUCUUUCUGCAUAGCACCACAAAAGGGUUAUACUGUUUUAACAAAUCAAAGAACAAUUUUUUUGGUACUGAACAGAACCUUUUUGCUAAAAGUCUUCAUCAGUAAAGGACGUGGUUAAAAUAAAGAACCACAAGCACUCAAAUAUCCAUUUGAAUGCAUAAAUGGUUCUUUGCAUGCUUAAAUGGUUCUUCUCUGUGAUGGAGAUGGUUCUUUAAACAACCUUUUUAAAAAUUCAAUUGGUUCUAUACAGCACCACCAAAGGGUUCUACCAUUUAUUUGUACUGUGUGGAACGUUUUUUGCUAAAAGUCUUCAUUAGUAAAGAUAGCAGUUAAAUAAAGAACCACAAGUACUCAAAUAACUAUUUUAAUGCAUAAAUUGUUCUUUGCAUGCUUGCUUAGCUCUUUUCUAUGAUAGAGAUGGUUAUUGUUAUUAAACUCUUGGUACAUUAUAGAAGCCUCUUUUUUUUGCUUAGUGUAGCUGAACCACAGUGGGUUCCACCAAGAUCAUUCCAGUGGAUGGUUCUUCAGAGAACAAUUUUAGUAAGGAUGUGUGGUGCAUGAGUGAGCAGAAGCUUCACAUAAUGGAACUUUUGAAUUAUGUGAAGGUUCUUUCAAGCUUUCAAGGGUUCCCAAAUCACAUUCCCAAAUCUUUUUCAAACAUGGUUCUAGAUAUUUAGCACUUAGAUUUUCUAACUCAUCCAUAUCUUUCUUUUGCUUCCAGUGAUGUAUCUCCCACUCGCUCCACCAACCAGUGACUAUGUGCAUAAUUUCCACAUAAAUAAAAUAUAUUACAUCACAUAUAUUACAAUUAUUGCCAAAACUAAGAAAUAAGAAAGACACAAUAGUGUUAAUGUGAUGUGGAGAGCAGGGCACUAAACAACACGGGGUAAGAUAUAACAUGGAUGUUUCAUGUAGGUAAACAUGUUGAAGAAGAAAAUGCUUUUAGUCAUGUUCUUGUGUUCCCAUAGCAACGUCAUCCACCAACUUUAACAGCAAUCAGACAGAAUUUUCUCCAGAUACAGCCUCAAGACAAUAUUUUAUUUGGAAAAUGAAUG